RNAcentral lists this long non-coding RNA (2204 nucleotides) under Sus scrofa (pig). RNAcentral's name for it is "lncRNA (ENSSSCG00025015672.1)". Lineage: Eukaryota; Metazoa; Chordata; Mammalia; Artiodactyla; Suidae. The record is from RNAcentral.
CCUUUCCACUUUCUAACAUCAAGAAACAAGCUCUUGGAGUCCCUGUCGUGGUGCAGCAGAAAUGAACCCCACUUGUAUCCAGGAGGAUGUGGGUUUGAUCCCCGGCCUUGCUCGGUGAGGAUCCUUGAGAGAUGGUCCCCUUCAAUGACGGGGAACUCACUACUUUUCGGGCAACAUCUUCCGUCUUCAGGCUCCUCUGCGUGUCAGAGAGACGGUCCCGCACAGCGGAGCAGAAUCUGGCCAGAGGAAGCGGGAAAACCCAGACAUGGAUGUUGCAAGAGCAGAUUAUUUAACACAACUGGAGUGCUCCCUGCAUCCUGAAAUUCCCCCACAAUAGAAAAUGAGAUGUUUGCGGGCUGCCUGCCAGACCUUGUUCUCAACCACAAGUAUUUACACAAGAGAAAAAGGGCCCCCCGUCCCUCCGCCCUCCGUGGCCCAUCAGGGCUGCAUCUCCCCAUGCCCCAAGCCCACUUGCUCCAAGACGCUGCAUCACACCAAGAGGCUUGCUUCACCGGAAAGGAUCUCGUGGACGUCUCUAACCUCACCUGAUAUCAGGCAGACACUUCCUGAAAGUCAUCCCUCGUGUUCCUAAGAUAAGAAGAGAAAACUGCUUCUUCCUUCCUUUCUGGGUAUGAGUAAUGACUGACUCUUUCUUGCGGUUACUCUGUUGGAGACAGGGUUUCUGCAGAAAGAAUCGAAAUUUAAUGAGACGUUUCUGGGCUCUCUGACUGCAUUGUGUAUGUUCUAUAGGGCAGAAAACAUUCCGAGAGACCAGGUUACAAUGUCUGUGUGACAUCGAAGAAGCCACCUGCCCCCUCUGUGAUCCAGUUCCUUUAUCAGUAACGUCAGGACAACAGUCCUGUCUCUUGGUUAAAAGGACAUGAUGAGCAUAUAAUUCAAAGGGGUCGGCAAAGCUGCCAGCAUGGAGUAGGGACUCCGUGGACCCUUGUACGUGGUCAUUAUUCCGUAUAUCUCGCUUCACACUGUGGUCCCCAGAGAAGUAGCCUCUACCUCCCCUGGAGUCUUGUUAGAAAUGCAGAAUCUUACGCUCCAGCCCAGAACUGUUCCGUUGAAAUCUGCACUUUCACAUGUUUUCUGGGAUUCAAAUGAUAUUAAACUUUGAGAAGCAGUGAUGGACUUACUAUCCAACAGGGUGGGGAGGCUGUGGGUGGGUAUAGCAACGGCUUUCUAAACAAUUUUUUCAUCGUUUUUUUUUUUGUAUUGCUCACCGUCCCUCCCCAGCUGUGCCACAUUCGUAUGACAUCUUCCUGGGGGGGUGACCUUAUCUAACCAGAACUCUGGCCUCAUCACUCUCCUGUGUAUUGGAGUUCCCCUGUUGCCUCAAGGAUAAAGGAAUAACUCCUCAGAAUGGCAUUGAAAUCCCUUUCCAACCUUCCUUUGGCCAACAAGGGCAAUGCCUCAUUUUCCAAAGGCAGCCUUCACUUGCAGGUCUCAGCUCUUUAUCCCAGAAACAAUCCCUUCCCCAAAGGGCACUGUCUUUUCAUCAUUUUCUCCAACUUACUCAAGCUCUGCUUCUUGGAAUGUUCUUGGCCUCCAAAACCCUGCUUAGUCUUCAAGGCUCAGCUCUAUUGCCAUUAUCAGAAUAGGUACAAGAUCAAGCUCAUGAUGGACGAACAUCUCAGAGUCAAGAGCUCUGGUUCUUACUAGGCCCACCAACAACUCCCUAAAGGAGUUCCCUGGUGGCCUAGCAGUUAAGGAUGCCGCGUUAUUAAUGCUCUGGCUCUGGUUGCGGUGGUGGCAUGGGUUCGAUGCCUGGCCCGGGAAUUUCUGCAUGCCACCAGUGCAGCCAAGCAAACAAACAACUCCCUAAAUCUCUUUGAGCAAGUCAUCUGAACUUCUGAGCCUUGUGUGUUCUCAUCAACCUUAUCUGUAUAAAGGAGAUAAUUAAGGCACCAACUUCAGAGACUUGUUUUGAGGAUUCUUCGGGGCUUUUGCGUUAGUCUAGUGACUGGCACAUAGUAAAUGCUCAAUAAAACUUCCCAAAUCCACUUCAGGGUAAAUUCCAUCUAGAGAUGCACCUCUCUCUCCUUUAUUCCCCAUUAUCAUCCCAGUCUCUGGCCCAGUUUCUGAUACACAGCAUAUGCAUGAUAAAUAUUUGUUAAUAAACAAAUGCCUUAAAAAUGUUAUGUACAUUGUAAAGCUCUGUAACAAAUAAAAGCUUGCUAUUUUUUUUUGGUUUUAUU